This is a non-coding RNA of Pelobates cultripes (western spadefoot toad), 77 nucleotides long. The record is from the annotation of a GenBank genome assembly. NCBI's taxonomy places the organism in Eukaryota, Metazoa, Chordata, Amphibia, Anura, Pelobatidae.
UUCGCAGCCAGAAUCUGUAUGGAAAAUUAAAAAGCUAUGUUAGCUUUUUAAUUUUCCAUACAGAUUCUGGCUGCGAA